Molecule: ribosomal RNA, 497 nt
Filed under: uncultured bacterium
Lineage: Bacteria
Description: partial 16S ribosomal RNA
Rfam family: Bacterial small subunit ribosomal RNA
Source: RNAcentral
GAUGAACGCUGGCGGCGUGCCUAAUACAUGCAAGUCGAGCGAACGGACGAGAAGCUUGCUUUUCUGAUGUUAGCGGCGGACGGGUGAGUAACACGUGGAUAACCUACCUAUAAGACUGGGAUAACUUCGGGAAACCGGAGCUAAUACCGGAUAAUAUUUUGAACCGCAUGGUUCAAAAGUGAAAGACGGUCUUGCUGUCACUUAUAGAUGGAUCCGCGCUGCAUUAGCUAGUUGGUAAGGUAACGGCUUACAAAGGCAACGAUGCAUAGCCGACCUGAGAGGGUGAUCGGCCAAACUGGAACUGUGCCGCGGUCCCGGCUCCUACGGGAGGCAGCAGUAGGGAAACUUCCGCAAUGGGCGAAAGCCUGACGGAGCAACGCCGCGUGAGUGAUGAAGAUCUUCGGAUCGUAAAACUCUGUUAUUAGGGAAGAACAUAUGUGUAAGUAACUGUGCACAUCUUGACGGUACCUAAUCAGAAAGCCACGGCUAACUACGUG